UCGAGCGGACAGACAGGAGUGCUUGCACUCCUUGAAGUCAGCGGCGGACGGGUGAGUAACACGUGGGUAACCUACCUAUAAGACUGGGAUAACUUCGGGAAACCGGAGCUAAUACCGGAUAAUAUGUUUCACCUCAUGGUGAAACAGUGAAAGACGGUUUCGGCUGUCACUUAUAGAUGGACCCGCGGCGCAUUAGCUAGUUGGUGAGGUAACGGCUCACCAAGGCGACGAUGCGUAGCCGACCUGAGAGGGUGAUCGGCCACACUGGGACUGAGACACGGCCCAGACUCCUACGGGAGGCAGCAGUAGGGAAUCUUCCGCAAUGGACGAAAGUCUGACGGAGCAACGCCGCGUGAGUGAAGAAGGUUUUCGGAUCGUAAAACUCUGUUGUAAGGGAAGAACAAGUACGUUAGUAACUGAACGUACCUUGACGGUACCUUACCAGAAAGCCACGGCUAACUACGUGCCAGCAGCCGCGGUAAUACGUAGGUGGCAAGCGUUAUCCGGAAUUAUUGGGCGUAAAGCGCGCGUAGGCGGUCUCUUAAGUCUGAUGUGAAAGCCCCCGGCUCAACCGGGGAGGGUCAUUGGAAACUGGGAGACUUGAGUGCAGAAGAGGAGAGUGGAAUUCCAUGUGUAGCGGUGAAAUGCGCAGAGAUAUGGAGGAACACCAGUGGCGAAGGCGGCUCUCUGGUCUGUAACUGACGCUGAGGUGCGAAAGCGUGGGGAUCAAACAGGAUUAGAUACCCUGGUAGUCCACGCCGUAAACGAUGAGUGCUAAGUGUUGGGGGGUUUCCGCCCCUCAGUGCUGCAGCUAACGCAUUAAGCACUCCGCCUGGGGAGUACGGUCGCA
Molecule: ribosomal RNA, 850 nt
Filed under: Macrococcus sp.
Lineage: Bacteria; Bacillati; Bacillota; Bacilli; Caryophanales; Staphylococcaceae
Description: bacterial SSU rRNA
Rfam family: Bacterial small subunit ribosomal RNA
Source: RNAcentral